RNAcentral lists this unclassified non-coding RNA (1518 nucleotides) under Hevea brasiliensis (rubber tree). Lineage: Eukaryota; Viridiplantae; Streptophyta; Magnoliopsida; Malpighiales; Euphorbiaceae. The record is from RNAcentral.
GUAAUUUCAAAAAGGGAACAAUGAGUGUCCAAGUGACCAUGUCUUUAGUUUUUUCCAAAGCAUAAAAGAGACAAUAUUUGAUGCUUUCAAAGUUUCAAUCAAACAAGUGGGACUACUGACUAGCACGGCUCAUUGUCUCCACAUUAAUCAUGAGAUAAAACAAUUGUAACCAAUCCAAACAUCCUUGAAAUAGUCUCCACUAAUGAUGGAUCCCCCUAAUCUUGUUAUUAUUAAUGUUAAUGGCCUCGAUUACCCCCAAGUAAUGCCGGCUUCUUGUCUUAGCAACUAAUCUUCUUGCAUGCUUAGCUCAAUUGCCCCCAUCAAAUUUGGACAGUCUGCAACUAUAACUGGGUGCAGUCCGAUUCCAAAACCGGCAAUUCCGGUUCGACGGGUUGGAAAUUUAAGAUCGAAUCGAGAGGUUCAACUCUAUUUUGAUCUUAACAAUCAAAUCAAUCAGCGGGCAGUUGUGUCACACAUGAUUCUGCUCAGCAUCUUUAAUCACUUACUACUAGAUCAAUACUAGAUCAACUAGUUGGUUGCUCUUGUAAGAUAAAUAGAUUACACAAUAAGAAUAGAUUUCAGGAAUUGGUAAAAGAAUAAAAAACUGACCCAUCCUGCACGUGGCUGGGGCUUCAUGUCAUGCCCAGGAAUCCAUGGGGGCCUCCUUGUAUACUUAGUGCUUGGAGUUGGUUUCAUCUUUCAAGCAUUUGGUUUUAUUUCACCUCUCAUCACUUAUCCAUCAGAAAACAUUGGAUCACGAGAUCACUUCUUUAUGGUAAUUGGGUCACCUCAGACAAGAGCAUGUGAAGCUGCAUCUCCAAUGUGUGACGAAUAGUUAAAAGUGUACAAGAAAAGAUAAAUUCAAGAACAAAUGCUAAAAAAACAAAGACCUAAAGAUAAAGAGACAAGAAGCUCCAUUCCAGCUGCUUUACAUCUUUCAACUGCAUACCCAAGUUUAGCCUUCAUAGUUAUGUGACCUCACUUCAACAUAGGUCAAGGAAAAUCCUUACCGACGAACAUCCUAAUCAACCAAUUCUCAUAGAAGUGAGCUGCUCGUGUCCAUCUUCAUGUAUAAGGCCAAAAUGAGGAGACAAAAAAAUAAGAGCACAACCAGCAGAUCAAUUAUUAAAAUAUAUUUGCUGAAACCUUCCAAAAGUCUAGAUCCAACCAAUAGUUUCAUUCCUUCACAGGAAGCUGGAAAAACUAAUCAAUUUCAAUGAGCAUAUGUUUUUGUUCGAGGGAAUCUUGGCUGUCAAUUUGUGGAUUCAUUUUUCAAGGGUAUUCUCAUUUAGACAACAAGAACCGAAUCAUACUCUGGAAUUUCCAAAUAUGACAUCUCUCAGGCUGAGUCCUUAGUAUUCUAGCUAUCCCAGGUCGCUAAAAUUAAUUUAGUAUAUUUUAGAAGUAAAAGGUGCCCUAAAUAUAAAAGACAAGCCAAGGACCUCUAGGUGAACUAGCUUUAAGUUCAAUCUCAUCCAGCCGCUGCAAAAAAGCAUUGCUCUUCUUCUUCUUUUUUUU